AUGCACCAUCGAUCCGCCCCAGGAGGAUGGGGAAGAAUAUGUUACGUUGGUUGGAGGCUCAUCACAUGGUACAGGGCAUUGACUUGGAACUGUUGGCGCAAGGGGAUCAUGGUUCAUUCCGAUGAGCUCGGUACUGUCUCCUUGCCUCAGCUAGGAGGUAGUGCCUGUGGUUUAAAACUGCCACUCAAGGACCUGAGAGUAGCUGCUCCUAUUCUGCACAGCGACGGUGAUGCUGUUUACCUCGCGUCCGCGCUGCAUGAGCGGGACCCAACUGCAUGGAUUGUCGCUGUUGACACUAGGAGGAAAUCGGUGGAAGAGCUUAUGCCAUACUCUGCAAAGGGGCUGUAUCUUUACGAUCCGACCUACAUUCCAUAUGUGCUGACCGAAUAUCUGAAUGAUAAAGCAGAUGGAGCUCAGGUACAGACGCAAAAUGCUUGUCAUCACACUCCACGAAACUUUGAUGGGUCCGAGAAGAAGCGGCAGCGACUUUCACAUACAGAAUAUGAAGUCUGA
Molecule: ribosomal RNA, 513 nt
Filed under: Triticum aestivum (bread wheat)
Lineage: Eukaryota; Viridiplantae; Streptophyta; Magnoliopsida; Poales; Poaceae
Description: partial small subunit ribosomal RNA
Source: RNAcentral